AAUUUUGGACAUUGGGCGCAAGCUUGAUCCACCCAUGCCGCGUGAGUGAAGAAGGCCUUCGGGUGGGAAAGCUCUUUCGGACGGAAAGAAAUCGCGCAGGCUAAUACACGGCGCGGAUGACGCUACCGUCACAAGAAGCCCGGGCUAACUACGUGACAGCAGCCGCGGGAAUACGUAGGGUGCGAGCGUUCAGCGGAAUUACUGGGCGUAAAGUGUGCGCAGGCGGUUGAUUAAGACAGGCGUGAAGUCACCGGGCUUAGCCUGGGAACUGAGCUUGUGACUUGUCAGCUAGAGUACGGCAGAGGGGGGUGGAAUGCCACGUGUAGCAGUGAAAUGCGUAGAGAUGUGGAGGAACACCGAUGGCGAAGGCAGCCCCCUGGGCCGAUACUGACGCUCAUGCACGAAAGCGUGGGUAGCAAACAGG
RNAcentral lists this ribosomal RNA (424 nucleotides) under uncultured bacterium. RNAcentral's name for it is "partial 16S ribosomal RNA". It matches the Rfam family "Bacterial small subunit ribosomal RNA", at positions 360 to 776 of the family's 1533-position model. The record is from RNAcentral.